RNAcentral lists this ribosomal RNA (867 nucleotides) under Escherichia coli. RNAcentral's name for it is "partial 23S ribosomal RNA". It matches the Rfam family "Bacterial large subunit ribosomal RNA", at positions 2055 to 2916 of the family's 2925-position model. The record is from RNAcentral. Lineage: Bacteria; Pseudomonadati; Pseudomonadota; Gammaproteobacteria; Enterobacterales; Enterobacteriaceae.
GAAGAUGCAGUGUACCCGCGGCAAGACGGAAAGACCCCGUGAACCUUUACUAUAGCUUGACACUGAACAUUGAGCCUUGAUGUGUAGGAUAGGUGGGAGGCUUUGAAGUGUGGACGCCAGUCUGCAUGGAGCCGACCUUGAAAUACCACCCUUUAAUGUUUGAUGUUCUAACGUUGACCCGUAAUCCGGGUUGCGGACAGUGUCUGGUGGGUAGUUUGACUGGGGCGGUCUCCUCCUAAAGAGUAACGGAGGAGCACGAAGGUUGGCUAAUCCUGGUCGGACAUCAGGAGGUUAGUGCAAUGGCAUAAGCCAGCUUGACUGCGAGCGUGACGGCGCGAGCAGGUGCGAAAGCAGGUCAUAGUGAUCCGGUGGUUCUGAAUGGAAGGGCCAUCGCUCAACGGAUAAAAGGUACUCCGGGGAUAACAGGCUGAUACCGCCCAAGAGUUCAUAUCGACGGCGGUGUUUGGCACCUCGAUGUCGGCUCAUCACAUCCUGGGGCUGAAGUAGGUCCCAAGGGUAUGGCUGUUCGCCAUUUAAAGUGGUACGCGAGCUGGGUUUAGAACGUCGUGAGACAGUUCGGUCCCUAUCUGCCGUGGGCGCUGGAGAACUGAGGGGGGCUGCUCCUAGUACGAGAGGACCGGAGUGGACGCAUCACUGGUGUUCGGGUUGUCAUGCCAAUGGCACUGCCCGGUAGCUAAAUGCGGAAGAGAUAAGUGCUGAAAGCAUCUAAGCACGAAACUUGCCCCGAGAUGAGUUCUCCCUGACUCCUUGAGAGUCCUGAAGGAACGUUGAAGACGACGACGUUGAUAGGCCGGGUGUGUAAGCGCAGCGAUGCGUUGAGCUAACCGGUACUAAUGAACCGUGAGG